This 301-nucleotide ribosomal RNA is filed under the name uncultured bacterium. RNAcentral describes it as "partial 16S ribosomal RNA". It matches the Rfam family "Bacterial small subunit ribosomal RNA", at positions 509 to 807 of the family's 1533-position model. The record is from RNAcentral.
CAGCAGCCGCGGUAAUACGGAGGGUGCAAGCGUUAAUCGGAAUUACUGGGCGUAAAGCGCACGCAGGCGGUCUGUCAAGUCAGAUGUGAAAUCCCCGGGCUUAACCUGGGAACUGCAUUUGAAACUGGCAGGCUAGAGUCUUGUAGAGGGGGGUAGAAUUCCAGGUGUAGCGGUGAAAUGCGUAGAGAUCUGGAGGAAUACCGAUGGCGAAGGCAGCCAUCUGGCCUAAUACUGACGCUGAGGUACGAAAGCAUGGGGAGCAAACAGGAUUAGAUACCCGUGUAGUCCCUGUCUCUUAUAC